This 407-nucleotide ribosomal RNA is filed under the name uncultured bacterium. RNAcentral's name for it is "partial 16S ribosomal RNA". It matches the Rfam family "Bacterial small subunit ribosomal RNA", at positions 28 to 526 of the family's 1533-position model. The record is from RNAcentral.
GACGAACGCUGGCGGCGUGCCUAAUACAUGCAAGUAGGACGCAGUUGCGAACGGGUGAGUAACGCGUAGGUAACUACCUAUUAGUGGGGGAUAACUAUUGGAAACGAUAGCUAAUACCGCAUACUAGUAGAUGGACCUGCGUUGUAUUAGCUAGUAGGUAGGGUAAUGGCCUACCUAGGCAACGAUACAUAGCCGACCUGUGAGGGUGUUCGGCCACACCGGGACAGGGGCACGGGUCAGAGCCCUACGGGAGGCAGCAGUAGGGAAUCUUCGGCAAUGGGGGGAAACCUGACCGAGCAACGCCGAGUGAGUGUAGAAGGUUUUCGGAUCGUAAAGCUCUGUUGUUAAGGCAGCGGUACUUACCCAGAAAGUGACGGCUAACUACGUGCCGGCAGCCGCGGUAAUAC